This 400-nucleotide unclassified non-coding RNA is filed under the name uncultured fungus. RNAcentral's name for it is "sequence contains ITS1". The stretch from base 1 to 104 matches the Rfam family "5.8S ribosomal RNA", at positions 50 to 154 of the family's 154-position model. The record is from RNAcentral. Lineage: Eukaryota; Fungi.
GAAAUGCGAUACGUAGUGUGAAUUGCAGAAUUCCGCGAAUCAUCGAGUCUUUGAACGCAAGUUGCGCCCGAGGCUUGACCAAGGGCAUUUCUGCCAGAGCGUCACCGCGACACCCACCAAACACACCUAUAUCCUAGUGCUGUGUUCGAGUGAAAGUGGCCAUCCGAAUGGGGCCGCCCGAGUUCGUUCUUGGGCGGCAGAUUGGGUUGGCUGAAAUGUAGGGAAUUUGACCGCCGUGGUAGAACAACCAGCGAUCAGGUGAUCCGGGUGCAAACCCGGAACUCAAACGUGCGCCGGUUGUGACACCCAGUUGGUUCCAAGCUCCAAAGCAGGUCUCCCUCCCUUCGCUCCGGUGAAGGGAAGGAAAAACGUCACGCAUCAGACCUCUGAUCAGAAAAGA